UGGGGAAUUUUUGGCAAUGGGGGCAACCCUGACCAAGCAACGCCGCGUGGGUGAUGAAGUCUCUUGGGACGUAAAACCCUUUCGACGGGGAAGAAACCGCAAGGUUGACGGUACCCGUAGAAGAAGCCCCGGCUAACUCCGUGCCAGCAGCCGCGGUAAUACGGGGGGGGCAAGCGUUGUUCGGAAUUACUGGGCGUAAAGGGUGCGUAGGCGGUCUGUUAAGUUGGAUGUGAAAACUCUGGGCUCAACCCAGAGCCUGCAUCCAAAACUGGCAGGCUAGAGUUCUGGAGGGGGUAGCGGAAUUCCUGGUGUAGCGGUGAAACGCGUAGAUAUCAGGAGGAACACCGGUGGCGAAGGCGGCUACCUGGACAGAAACUGACGCUGAGGCACGAAAGCUAGGGGAGCAAACAGGAUUAGAUACCCUGGUAGUCCUAGCCCUAAACGAUGGAUACUUGCUGUGACUGGGAUUGAAUCCAGUCGUGGCGAAGCUAACGCAUUAAGUAUCCCGCCUGGGGAGUACGGUCGCAAGGCUGA
RNAcentral lists this ribosomal RNA (534 nucleotides) under uncultured Acidobacteriota bacterium. RNAcentral describes it as "bacterial SSU rRNA". It matches the Rfam family "Bacterial small subunit ribosomal RNA", at positions 355 to 897 of the family's 1533-position model. The record is from RNAcentral. Lineage: Bacteria; Pseudomonadati; Acidobacteriota.